This 388-nucleotide ribosomal RNA is filed under the name uncultured bacterium. Its description in RNAcentral is "bacterial SSU rRNA". It matches the Rfam family "Bacterial small subunit ribosomal RNA", at positions 370 to 772 of the family's 1533-position model. The record is from RNAcentral.
AAUGGACGAAAGUCUGACGCAGCGACGCCGCGUGGGUGAUGAAGGCCUUCGGGUUGUAAAGCCCUUUUUGCAGGGACGAAAAAAAUGACGGUACCUGUAGAAUAAGCACCGGCUAACUCCGUGCCAGCAGCCGCGGUAAUACGGAGGGUGCAAGCGUUACUCGGAAUCACUGGGUGUAAAGGGCGCGUAGGCGGCUCGAUAAGUUUGGUGUGAAAUCCCACGGCUCAACUGUGGAACUGCACUGAAUACUGUCGGGCUAGAGUGCAGGAGGGGAGGGUGGAAUUCAUGGUGUAGAGGUGAAAUUCGUAGAUAUCAUGAGGAACACCAGCGGCGAAGGCGGCCCUCUGGACUGUAACUGACGCUAGGGCGCGAAAGCGUGGGGAGCAAA